Molecule: ribosomal RNA, 593 nt
Filed under: uncultured bacterium
Lineage: Bacteria
Description: bacterial SSU rRNA
Rfam family: Bacterial small subunit ribosomal RNA
Source: RNAcentral
CCUACGGGAGGCAGCAGUGGGGAAUCUUGCGCAAUGGGCGAAAGCCUGACGCAGCAACGCCGCGUGCGGGAAGAAGGCUUUCGGGCUGUAAACCGCUUUCAGCAGGAACGAAAAUGACGGUACCUGCAGAAGAAGGAGCGGCCAACUAUGUGCCAGCAGCCGCGGUGAUACAUAGGCUUCAAGCGUUGUCCGGAUUUAUUGGGCGUAAAGAGUUCGUAGGCGGUCGAGUAAGUCGGGUGUGAAAAUUCUGGGCUCAACCCAGAGACGCCACCCGAUACUGCUUAACUUGAGUUCGAUAGGGGAGUGGGGAAUUCCUAGUGUAGCGGUGAAAUGCGCAGAUAUUAGGAGGAACACCGGUGGCGAAGGCGCCACUCUGGAUCGAUACUGACGCUGAGGAACGAAAGCAUGGGUAGCAAACAGGAUUAGAUACCCUGGUAGUCCAUGCCGUAAACGGUGGGCACUAGGUGUGGGAUUCUAUUAACGAAUUCCGCGCCGUCGCUAACGCAUUAAGUGCCCCGCCUGGGGAGUACGGUCGCAAGACUAAAACUUAAAUGAUAAGUAGNGUUGNGAGUUGCGAGNGACACGAGGGAGAG